AUGAUAACAAGGGGAGAUACCAUGAUCACAAAGGUGGUUUUCCCAGGGUGAGACUUAUCCAUUGCACUCUGACUGUCCCAAUCCCUGCAAUUUAGCCAAAUUUGGAAACUUGACUGCAUAAUUUGUGAUAGUGGGGGAAUGUGUUCAUGCUCUCUCCUG
Molecule: small nuclear RNA, 159 nt
Organism: Jaculus jaculus (lesser Egyptian jerboa)
Lineage: Eukaryota; Metazoa; Chordata; Mammalia; Rodentia; Dipodidae
Gene: U1
Rfam family: U1 spliceosomal RNA
About the family: U1 is a small nuclear RNA (snRNA) component of the spliceosome (involved in pre-mRNA splicing). Its 5' end forms complementary base pairs with the 5' splice junction, thus defining the 5' donor site of an intron.
Source: Ensembl